Molecule: long non-coding RNA, 851 nt
Filed under: Pomacea canaliculata
Lineage: Eukaryota; Metazoa; Mollusca; Gastropoda; Architaenioglossa; Ampullariidae
Description: uncharacterized LOC112569545, transcript variant X2
Source: RNAcentral
AAUAGAAGAAGCAGACGACAAUGGCUGACAUGAUAGUAACAUAAUUGAAGGAAGCUGACGUGAGUGUUAAGAAGUUCAGAAGUCAGCGUUUAAGAAGUAAUUCCUUGCGCAGAGAAGGGGAAGAAUAUGGAACUACUGAGAUCCGGAUGCGAGAGACGCUUCAACCGUCAGAGCAGAUCAGACGAAAUGAAAGGGCAGCUAACUCUACUCCUGCGAAGAGGGACAGCGUUGACUCAACUCUCGGUGUGGCUAGGCCAGCGACUUACAAGAUGAGGUGUGACCGCUCUCGCUUGAACGCAGAUGGUUUCAACGACAUGGACUACCAGUGACAGAUGCUUGGACAAAACUCUCCCACUCUCUUUCAAAGGGAGGGACAAGGGCGUCACUGCUGUCUCGAGGGUUGAGGUCGAAAAGGUCAGCUUCUUCGAUAUUUUUCCGCCACCCGAGGACCUCUUCAAUGAUGGCCGUGUAUAGAGGGACGAAGUCGCAUAAUGUCAACAAGCUCCAGAAGACAAACUGUAAACCGGAGGUGAUGACGUGGCGACGACGUUCAUGCUGUGGGGUGCAACAACAGCGACUCACAUACGACACCAGCCGCAGGGCGCUGGACAGGUAGAUGACCACCGGAAGCACGUCACUGCCUCUGUCUGUCGACAGUUUGAAGUCUUGUACCAAUGACAACAGCGCCACCAUGCUCAGUGUCAAGCUGAAAAACUGUCGGCAUGGAAACAGCUUAAAGGUAUUGUCUACAGUACUGGAAGCUGUCGUCUUUUAGCAGUGCUGAUGUGACUGUUAUCAUUCAUCACUUGACUUUAUUAAUUUAUUGUGAAAUAUUAAAGGAAGGAACAACA